GAUGAGUGCGGACAAAAGACGAGAGUGAUGCUGUGUUUCCUUUUUUACUCUGAAAACACAGCAGGGCAAGGGGGGGGGACACACAUUUCUCAGGGGUGCAAACUGUGACAUAACACCUGUAAACAUACAGUCCUCAUGAGGUCGUUUGGACAUUGGGUGCCCUACCUCUUUUCAUGGCCAAACCUACUUCCUGGUGGAUGAGACAGCGCCUCGGUGUUGUCGUAGUAAGUAGACUGGGCAGCAGCUGUGUGGAGUGAAGCUGGACUCGGUUUGCUGAUGGUCUGCAGUCGUGAUACAGCAGUUAGUUAUCACACUUUUUUUUUUUUUUUUUAGUUUCUAUUUCUAAAGAACAGAAAAAAAAAAUUUAAAAAUAAAAAAUGGGAAGCACGGUGACGGAGUCUAACAAGGAGAGCUCAAAGAAAAUGCCAAAGAAGAGGAGAAGUCUGCGGAUAAACAUGCCGGACUUUGGUACAUUUACUUCCCCACAAGUGGAGACGAGUGGCUCAACCAAAAGUGGUGCUCAGACGGGGGAGCGCCGCAUCCGUUCAGCCAGCCCCAUCAAAGGAGUGAGCAGCCCGGCCAGCGCCCUUCUGCCGCCAUGUCCUCAGUCUGCUCCAGUGCCUGCAAAGCCCAGCUCAGGUUCACCCAAAACUAUCUUCCCCUAUCCCUCCCAUCAGGACUCCCCACCCAAGUCCCCCCGUCGCCUGAGCAUCAGUGGUAUCUUCCGCUCCUCAUCCAGCUCCUCACCUACAAGCAUCAAAAUCUUCUCCAGGACCAGGAGAGCCUCAGGACUCUCCACACCACCACCCACCACACCAACCCAGUCAUCCAGCCAACCCGUGUUCACCCAGGAGGCCCAGCUGACCAGGCCCAGCCCCGAACGCCUGGAGCCCACCUCCCGAUCCCGCUCACUCUCCACGCCUCCGGACACAGGACAGCGUCUCAGCCUUCCCUCUGCCAAACCCCCGAUCCCUUCCUCAAGUCCUGUGCCAUCUUAUUCUACCUCACAACAAGUCUACGGUUUGUUCGAAGGCAUGCUGGAGAAACUUGAACUAGAUGAUGAUGCUGCUGAACCUGAGAGUGAUAUUUACAUGCGCUUUAUGAAAUCCCACAAGUGCUACGACAUCGUGCCCACGAGUUCAAAGCUGGUUGUGUUCGACACAGCGCUCCAAGUUAAGAAAGCGUUCUUUGCCUUGGUAGCCAACGGUGUGCGAGCUGCUCCGCUAUGGGACACAGAGAAGCAAAGCUUUGUGGGAAUGCUGACAAUCACAGAUUUCAUCAUCAUACUACACAGAUACUAUAAGUCGCCGAUGGUGCAAAUUUAUGAAUUAGAGGAACAUAAGCUUGAGACGUGGAGAGAGGUUUACCUUCAAGCUACGUUCAAACCUCUGGUCAACAUAUCACCCGAUGCAAGCUUGUUUGAUGCAGUGUACACCCUCAUCAAAAACAAAAUUCACCGCCUGCCUGUCAUCGACCCUGUCACGGGGAAUGCACUUUAUAUUCUCACACACAAGAGGAUCCUCAAGUUCCUCCAGCUUUUUAUGUGUGAAAUGCCAAAGCCAGCUUUCAUGAAGCAGACUCUCGGGGAGCUGGGCAUUGGGACGUAUCACGACAUCGCUUUCAUCCACCCGGACACGCCCAUCAUCAAAGCGCUCAAUAUCUUUGUGGAGAGACGAGUGUCUGCCCUGCCCGUGGUGGACGAGUCUGGCAAAGUCGUGGAUAUUUACUCCAAGUUUGACGUGAUCAACUUGGCUGCUGAGAAGACGUACAACAACCUGGACAUCACAGUGACACAGGCUCUGAAACAUCGCUCUCAGUACUUCGAGGGAGUCAUGAAGUGCCACAAAAUGGAAACAAUGGAGACCAUUGUGGACAGAAUAGUGAAAGCUGAAGUGCAUCGGCUGGUGGUGGUGGACGAGCUGUCCAGCAUCGAGGGCAUCGUCUCCCUGUCGGACAUCCUUCAGGCUCUGGUGCUCAGCCCUGCAGGUAUAGAUGCUCAGCGUCGCUAGCCUCAACUCCCCUUCUGUCCUGGACCCUGAGUUCUCUCCCCACCCCGCCCUCUAACCCUGUCCCGGACGCCUGUAAAGAGGAGACCCUGACUGAGUGAGAGGGGGGGUGGGGGGCUUCAGCUAUAGUGGUGACAUGGUUGGGAGUAAAUAAGUUUGAAGGUUGAGGUAGGGAACGUGAGACUGAGCAGAGUCAGUCUGAAGGACCCAGAGACGCCUGCAACUGAUGCACUAUAGAGGCUUAGAAACCAAAGAGCUAGACAGCUGAAUGAAGUGGAGUUCCUGCACUGAGGAUUGAUUUUCUUUUCUUUCUUUUUUGUUUUUGUUUUGUUUGAACACUGAUCAGAUGAACACACAUACACGGUGUAUUGUAUUUACACACACACACACACACACACACACUCAUACGCAAACAUACAAAGAGAUGGUCACCAGCGGAGGGGAAAAGAGGUGAGAAAGUCGAGAUGAACAAAUCGGGGCUUCACUGUUUUGGUUGUGUAGUUAUGAUCACGCUGCUGUCAUCAGUUUAUUUUUAGUUGCAUUUCGUAGUCAAUACUGAACCUCCAGGAAAACCUGCAUUCUUCUCAGUAUUUGUUGUAGAAAGGUGAACAUUCACAGAUGCAACUUAUUGUCUGGUAGCAAAACUACACUUCACCUACAAUGUGGCCAUUUUAUGACUUCUGUCAUUAAAGGAAGUGCCAAUAUGGAGGGACUGAUGCCCGAUCUUUAUUUGUGCCUUUUGUUUGCCUUUGCCCUAACCAGUUACAAUUGGCAGUAUUUAUGUCCUUUGACUUUUUAUUGUCAAACGAGUGCAAUUAUUUGGAAUUUCUUUAGAGGUGAAUGUGUAAUAUUUUAGGAGUUGGCAAAUUGUACCUGGAAAAAAUAUUUUUCUUUAUUUGGUUGUAUUUAGGGUGAUUUUUAAAACCAUGUCCGAGGUGUGGAAACAUAAACAAUAGAUUUCAUUCUAAAAAAGAUCCUAAAAUCCUAAAAUAGAAUCAGUCAUUUUAGAAUAAAAACACAGUGGCCAGAGGCAAAUACACCUGUAGAUGAAUCAGGAUUCUCUCAGCCAAGAACUAAGAGUCAGUACCAUUUUACAUCAGAGGGGUUAGAGUCAUUGCGACUUAAGCAUUGUUUUUAACGGUAUAACACGACCGAGAAAUGUCUUUUAAGAUGUUUAAAAUGAUGAAAAGGUAGUUGUUGUUUUUUUUUUUUACCUUUUAUUUUUUUCAGUUGUAUUGAUGCUUCAGAUAAUCUGACACUCAAACAUGCAAAUCAAAAAAACUCUAUCUCAGCUGUAGCUCGACAGGACUCAUCUCCAUCUUUGACUGUAAAUAGGAUCGUUUUUUUCGGGAAACGUGUCACAUAAAACUUUAUUUUUAUGAAUGUGUCAACAUGUUUAAAGAGACUGCAGUUUUAAUGUUAUUUUUGUAAAUAUAUUGUGGCAAUAUGUCCGGUUCAAAGAGACUUUGUAUCAGAUCAACAUGUACUGUAAAUGUGCAAGCAUGAGAAACUACACUUCAGCAGUAUGAAUGUUCUUUGUUUUACUUUUUCUAUUUUUCUGGCUGCAGGAAAAUAAAUGGACACUGAAUGUACUUUA
Larimichthys crocea (large yellow croaker) is the source of this 3603-nucleotide RNA transcript. It is a transcript of the gene named 5'-AMP-activated protein kinase subunit gamma-2, with no coding region annotated. The record is from RefSeq and is a predicted model, not a curated record. Lineage: Eukaryota; Metazoa; Chordata; Actinopteri; Sciaenidae. The transcript has 16 exons.